Molecule: ribosomal RNA, 274 nt
Filed under: uncultured bacterium
Lineage: Bacteria
Description: partial 16S ribosomal RNA
Rfam family: Bacterial small subunit ribosomal RNA
Source: RNAcentral
AUACGGAGGGUGCAAGCGUUAUCCGGAUUCAUUGGGUUUAAAGGGUGCGCAGGCGGAUAUUUAAGUCAGUGGUGAAAUCCCGGGGCUCAACCUCGGAACUGCCAUUGAUACUGAAUAUCUGGAAUACGCUUGAAGUGGGCGGAAUGUAGCAUGUAGCGGAGAAAUGCAUAGAGAUGCUACAGAACACCGAUCGCGAAGGCAGCUCACUAAGCCGAUAUUGACGCUCAGGCACGAAAGCGUGGGGAGCGAACAGAAUUAGAAACCCUAGUAGUCC